This 358-nucleotide ribosomal RNA is filed under the name uncultured bacterium. RNAcentral's name for it is "bacterial SSU rRNA". It matches the Rfam family "Bacterial small subunit ribosomal RNA", at positions 28 to 415 of the family's 1533-position model. The record is from RNAcentral.
AAUGAACGUUGGCGGCCUGGAUUAGGCAUGCAAGUUGAGCGAACCCGCAAGGGGAGCAGCGUAAGGGGCAGUAAGGCAUAGGUACCUACCCGCGGCUCGGGCAUAGCCUGUAGAGAUACAGGGUAAUUCCCGAUGACCUCGAGAGAGCAAAGCUCCGGCGGCCGCGGAGGGGCCUAUGUGAUAUUAGCUAGUUGGUGGGGUAACGGCCCACCAAGGCGAAGAUGUCUAGCGGGUGUGAGAGCACGACCCGCGCCACUGGCACUGAGACACUGGCCAGACACCUACGGGUGGCUGCAGUCGAGGAUCUUCGGCAAUGGGCGCAAGCCUGACCGAGCGAGGCCGCGUGGGCGAUGAAGGC